GAAUCUUGCAACUCCCUUUGUAGGUGAUAUUUUAAGAAAUACAUGGUCACCAACUUGAAAUUCUAAUUCUCGUCUUCUAUUAUCCGCAUAACUCUUUUGUGUACUUUGUGCAGUCCGAAGGCGACUCUGAUUAGCUGAAUUUUCUCAACUGUCUGUUGUACAAGUUUAGGGCCCAACAAUCUUCGUUCACCAAUAUCAUCCCAACAAAUUGGCGAACGACAUUUUCUUCCAUAUAAAGCUUCAUAAGGUGCCAUCUGUAUGCUACUCUGAUAACUAUUGUUAUAUGCAAAUUCUAUCAGAGGUAGAUGCUCAUCCCAAGAACCCUUCAUAUCUAUGACGCAAGCUCU
RNAcentral lists this long non-coding RNA (347 nucleotides) under Phoenix dactylifera (date palm). RNAcentral describes it as "long non-coding RNA (PDAC_LNC018313)". The record is from RNAcentral. Lineage: Eukaryota; Viridiplantae; Streptophyta; Magnoliopsida; Arecales; Arecaceae.